Molecule: long non-coding RNA, 320 nt
Organism: Spinacia oleracea (spinach)
Lineage: Eukaryota; Viridiplantae; Streptophyta; Magnoliopsida; Caryophyllales; Amaranthaceae
Exons: 3
Source: RefSeq, a predicted model, not a curated record
GUCUCUGUUUGCCAAUCGACUGUCAUGACCAAUUCCAAAAUAUUUGGGGAAUAUCACCACUCUCAUAAACCUAAGCAUUGAGAGCAAUCAGUUCAAUGGAACUAUUUCUCCUGAGCUUGGGAACUUGGUCAACUUAAGCGAACGAACUUUAAAUGACAACAAACUUACAUGAAAGGUGCCUUUGGAGUUGAAAAAUCUGGCCAAUCUAAGGGUACUGUAAGUAGUUUAUUUGAUUGAAGAAUUGAGAUUUAAGUAUAGAGCUUUUUGUUCAUCUCUUUCUCUCUCAAUCAUUUGUUUUUUUGUGUACUUGUUAGUCGAUU